GAUGAACGCUGGCGGUAUGCCUAAUACAUGCAAGUCGAACGGACUCUUCGGAGUUUGUGGCGGACGAGUGAGUAAGGCGUGGGAAUCUGGCCUUGGGUUCGGGACAACCACUGGAAACGGUGGCCAAUACCGGAUGUGCCGAGAGGUCAAAGAGAAAUUUACUGAAGAUGAGCUCGUGUCUGAUUACCUAGUUGGUGAGGUAAAGGCUCACCAAGGCAGCGAUCAGUAUCUGUUCUGAGAGGAUGACCGGCCACACUGCGACUGGGACACGGCCGAGACUACUACGGGAGACAGCAGUAAGGAAUGUUGCGCAAUGGGCGAGAGCCUGACGAAGCUAUACGGCGUGAGAGAAGAAGGCUCUUGGGUUGAAAACCUCUUUACUUAAGGAAGAACAAAAUGACGGUACCUAAGGAGACAGCAACGGCUAACUACGUG
Molecule: ribosomal RNA, 435 nt
Filed under: uncultured bacterium
Lineage: Bacteria
Description: partial 16S ribosomal RNA
Rfam family: Bacterial small subunit ribosomal RNA
Source: RNAcentral